AGAAAAAAACGAAUCAAUUUUCAUAAGACUAUAGGUAACAUUAUACGAAAGAUUCAUCGUAUAACUGAAUCCUAAAAGCGGAGAAUCGUUUUCUAUGACUGUCGGCCAUCUUAACACGGAUAACCCCGACAAACUUGGCCUAUCAAUCUCGACAAGCGCUCUUUGGCCCUCUGUCAAUUACGCCCUCCUGUAAAAGUCCGAACCAGAAUUCGGCAUCCCCUUUAAGGACAAUCGUAAACUAACAUGACCUUCAUGUUAACACGAAAGUACCUUGGUCUAAUCCUUGACCUACAAGCCAAGCCAAAGUAUUUGGCAACCAUUGCUCCAUCACUUAACGGCUAAACGACAAUCUGCGAUUUGUCAAAAAAUGUCAUGUGACUAUUAAGGGAAUAAUUAUCGUAUAACCCAUAGUCGGAAAUCAUAUGAUAAAUACUUCGUAACAAAACUCAGUCCUAACAACCAAACGGUUAACGUAAAAGAUAAACUUGUCGACAUUCGACCAAGUUCUAUACGUUCCACAGUUAAGUUUAAAGCCUGCUAUGUUUUCCCCGUAAAAUGCGGCAUAUAAGGAAAACUCGUAACAGAGCUCCUAGAAAAAUACGAAACAUCCUCAAAUAUACAUGAAUUAAUCUCGGAAAGUCAAAACUUCACAAAGCACUACGAAGGAAAACGCUUCUUCCCAUGGACAAAUUUAUGUGACCCUCGGUCCUAAUUCCUCAAUCGCAAAUCAAAUAAUUAGCAUCCAAACAGGAACAACAAUUUUGGCUGCGAACAUCCGUAGACAAACCAAAAUGU
RNAcentral lists this long non-coding RNA (795 nucleotides) under Brassica napus (rape). RNAcentral describes it as "long non-coding RNA (BNAP_LNC009296)". Lineage: Eukaryota; Viridiplantae; Streptophyta; Magnoliopsida; Brassicales; Brassicaceae. The record is from RNAcentral.